Molecule: ribosomal RNA, 126 nt
Filed under: Cladosporium cladosporioides
Lineage: Eukaryota; Fungi; Ascomycota; Dothideomycetes; Cladosporiales; Cladosporiaceae
Description: 5.8S ribosomal RNA
Source: RNAcentral
AUGCCUGUUCGAGCGUCAUUUCACCACUCAAGCCUCGCUUGGUAUUGGGCAACGCGGUCCGCCGCGUGCCUCAAAUCGUCCGGCUGGGUCUUCUGUCCCCUAAGCGUUGUGGAAACUAUUCGCUAA